AUUGUAACCAAGCGUCGCCCAAAAAAUACUCAUUUUUUAUACAAUGGGUUCUAUAUUUCGUAUAUAUAUAAGAAGUUUUUUACUUUUCUUAUUAUUAUAUGUUAAAUGAAACCAAAAAUACGAAAUGGGCAGAAAAAUUGAGUAUAUCAAUGGAACAACUAAGGAUGUGGAAAACAAGACAGGAAUUCUCUACAAUGACACUGUAGAACAAUUGAAGGGAUGUGGCGCAGUGGGCUGCAAUUUG
Molecule: long non-coding RNA, 244 nt
Filed under: Olea europaea subsp. europaea
Lineage: Eukaryota; Viridiplantae; Streptophyta; Magnoliopsida; Lamiales; Oleaceae
Source: RNAcentral